RNAcentral lists this ribosomal RNA (275 nucleotides) under uncultured bacterium. Its description in RNAcentral is "partial 16S ribosomal RNA". It matches the Rfam family "Bacterial small subunit ribosomal RNA", at positions 355 to 649 of the family's 1533-position model. The record is from RNAcentral.
UGGGAGAUCUUGCACAAUGGACGAAAGUCUGAUGCAGCGACGCCGCGUGAGCGAUGAAGCCUCGGGUGUGAAGCAUCUUUCGGCAGGAACGAUAAUGACGGUACCUGAAGAAGAAGCUGCGGCUAACUACGUGCCAGCAGCCGCGGUAAUACGUAGGCAGCAAGCGUUGUUCGGAAUUACUGGGCGUAAAGAGUGUGUAGGCGGUGCUCUAAGUUUGGUGUGAAAUCUCCCGGCUCAACUGGGAGGGUGCGCCGAAAACUGGAAUGCUCGAACAU